ACAUCCCAUGCGGGAGAGUCAUCGAGGCCGGUGCUGACCGGUCGAGGUGCGCCGAAGGGGCAAUUCCUCCCCGGAACCUCUCAGGCACCCGGACCGCACUGGGUUG
RNAcentral lists this non-coding RNA (106 nucleotides) under Nocardioides sp. RNAcentral's name for it is "Glycine sequence". It matches the Rfam family "Glycine riboswitch aptamer". Rfam says of the family: This family represents the bacterial glycine riboswitch. Lineage: Bacteria; Bacillati; Actinomycetota; Actinomycetes; Propionibacteriales; Nocardioidaceae. The record is from RNAcentral.